UAUCUGAUACCAUGAAAGGAGGAAGAUCACAGAGGUGAUUGGAAUCGCACUGUAUUCAAUCAAUGGAGAUAUUACAUAUAUACCAGUACAAGCACACGCAGGUGCAGCCACUAACUCAACUACUGCCGCAACUAACUCCACUAAGCUAGUGCAUGCAAUAAGGACGCAUAUGACCAGGAGAAUUGGUUACAGAGAGAGAGAGUUGAGGGAGAGAGCUACGUGGGUGCAACGGCUUGUGUGGGCG
RNAcentral lists this long non-coding RNA (244 nucleotides) under Hordeum vulgare. Its description in RNAcentral is "long non-coding RNA (HVUL_LNC001050)". Lineage: Eukaryota; Viridiplantae; Streptophyta; Magnoliopsida; Poales; Poaceae. The record is from RNAcentral.